UACGUAGGGGGCAAGCGUUGUCCGGAUUUACUGGGCGUAAAGAGCGUGUAGGCGGCCACGCAGGUCCGUUGUGAAAACUGGAGGCUCAACCUCCAGCUGUCGACGGAAACCGUGUGGCUAGAGUCCGGAAGAGGAGAGUGGAAUUCCUGGUGUAGCGGUGAAAUGCGCAGAGAUCGGGAGGAACAUCUGUGGCGAAGGCGACUACCUGGACCAGCACUGACACUGAGGCACGAAAGCGUGGGGAGCAAACAGG
RNAcentral lists this ribosomal RNA (253 nucleotides) under uncultured bacterium. Its description in RNAcentral is "partial 16S ribosomal RNA". It matches the Rfam family "Bacterial small subunit ribosomal RNA", at positions 524 to 776 of the family's 1533-position model. The record is from RNAcentral.